AUGAGUGCUUUUUGUUGGAACUAUCGCGGAGCAGGUAAACCCGCGACAGUUCGAGAAAUUUGCGAGUUCGCGAUGAAGUUUACCCCUACCGUGCUAUGCAUUGUUGAAACACAAAUAAGUGGAGCACGUGUAGAAGCUUUAGCUGGAACAUUAGGCUUUGAUAAUUCAUAUGCAAUAAGCAGUCAAGGAAGAAGCGGAGGACUUGGUAUGUUUUGGAACAACAAUUGUAAUGUUGAAAUUUUGGGAGAUUCUGUGUACCACAUUGAUGCUAGGGUCACAGAAACAGGCCAAGAUCCUUGGCGCAUCACGUGUGUAUAUGGGGAGUCCCAGACACAUCUAAGGCACCAAACUUGGGACGUCCUUAAGGGAAUUAGCACUAUGAGUGAUUUACCAUGGCUUUGUUUUGGCGACUUUAAUGAAGUGCUCCGCCCGGAGGAGCAUGAUGGAAUAGCGGAUAGGAGUAAUGCACAGGUACAAGCUUUCCGUGAUGCAGUUGAUGUGUGCAUGCUCAUGGAUCUUGGCUACCAGGGAGGCCCUGGACUUUUGAGAAGCGGGUUACAGGAGGGAGCUUCUGCAGGGUCCGUCUUGACAAGGCCUUGGCUUCGGCUAGUUGGACAGCUCAAUAUCCACUAG
This 633-nucleotide ribosomal RNA is filed under the name Triticum aestivum (bread wheat). Its description in RNAcentral is "partial small subunit ribosomal RNA". The record is from RNAcentral. Lineage: Eukaryota; Viridiplantae; Streptophyta; Magnoliopsida; Poales; Poaceae.